Molecule: long non-coding RNA, 3923 nt
Organism: Manis javanica (Malayan pangolin)
Lineage: Eukaryota; Metazoa; Chordata; Mammalia; Pholidota; Manidae
Source: RefSeq, a predicted model, not a curated record
CGGGCGCUAAGAAGACUCGGAGCGGACUUUGACCGCAGUAAAGUAGAGGAAAGGCACUGAGCCGGGUGAAGGGAGAAAUAAAAAACCCGGGUUGGAUUACACAGAGGGGACGAACGGGGGAGGAGAGCUGCGACAGGACCGAAGGCACCCAGGGUCGGCAAAUUUUGUGCCGGAUUCUUCCUCGGGAGACGGAGUAAUGCGUCAUGCCUAAUGCAGUGGGAACAAGCAAGACAUGGCCUAGAGUUUCGGGACCUGGGGUGGCAGGGGGCUCCGGAAGGGGGCUCCUUAGAGACUGAGGCUGCCCUAGUCUUACUGGCAGCGACGUGUAAGGGGGAGGGGCAAAAAGAGGGCUGGACCCCGGCGUCAGUUGGUCCGGAGCGAGGGCUCCACCAACGCGGGCAGGUAGAAGCGGCUUCAGGAUCCAGGGGCUAAGCGAAGGGAACGCGCUGAGGCAGCCGCUACCCUGGGAGACCAGACCUACAAUCAGACGCGAGGGCGGGACGCAAAGCCAGGACUGGAGUCCGCAGGACGGGACGAGACCCCAGCCGAAGGUCCCGGGCAACCGGACAAGGGCUCGAGCUGACCGGGCGGCAGGAGCGGGGAGGGGAGUGCUAGGGAGAGGCCCAGUUCUGGAAGCCUAGGAUAUGAUGGCGAAUAAGAGACACAAAGUUAUUGUCUUCCUGGAGCUUACAUUUUACUGGGGAGGCUGAUGAUUGACGAGUAGCAAGAAGAAAACUUCAAGAGAGUGAUCAAUGCUGUGAAGGAAAAACAAUGAGGAAGCAUGCAGCUGGGUAUAGGUUAUGAAGGCAGGUCCUCAGUAAAUACAGCAGGAAAUUACCAUGUGAUCCAGCAAGUCCGCUUCUAGGUAUGUACCUUAAAGAAUUGCAAACAGGUGCCCAAAUAGAUUCUUCUACACCAGUGUUCACAGCAGCAUUCUUCACACGAACUAGAAGAUGGAAACAACACAAAUGUACAUGGAUGGGUGAACUGAUAAGCAAGAGAAUCUUAUUCAUCCAUAAGAAGAAAUGAGUCCUGCUACAGGCUACAAUGUGGAUGAACCUUGAAGACGCUAUGCUGAGUGAAAGAAGCCAGACACAGAAGGCCAGAUAUUCCACUUAUAUGAACUGUCCAAGAAUGGGUAAAUGCAUAGAGGCAGAGCAGAUUAGGGGUUGCCAGGCGCUUGGGGAGGGGGAAUGGGGAGUGACUACUUAUGCAGACAAGUUUCCUUUGGGAUAAUGAAAACAUCUGGGGACUCAGUAGAGGUGGUGGUUGCCCAACACUGAGAAUGUACUCAGUGCCACUGCAUUGUUCACUUAUAAUAGUGGUUACUUUUAUACUAUGUGAAUUUUACCUCAAUUAAAACAAAAUUAAAGGGGGCAUUUGAGAGAGGGCUGGGAGACUGGGGAGGUGGCCACCACCAUCAAUCCAGGUGAGAGGUGAUGGAGGUCAGAUUUGAGGCAUAUCCUAGAUUCAGACCAACAAGACUACUUAACCUUUGCAUUCCCCAUCAGGAUUGCUCAAAUGUCACCUCUUGACCACACAAUUGAAAACUGCAAACACUUCCAGAAAGCGAGAGUCCAGGAAGCCAACCCAGUCCAGAUAGGACUGGUGAUGGAUUUCCAGUUAGGCAUCAACGGGGAAAGGCGCCCAAUUGGGCUGCGCUUCCCUCCCCGGCCGCUAGAGGCCGCUGUCCCGCUGCUCUGAGGCAACCAGGUGAGGAGGCCCCGCCCCUUCCCGCAGGUGCUCGGGAGGCGCGCCGCAGGGCCAAGGGAGGAGAGCUAAGAGGGCCAGGGGACAGAGUGAGGGUUUAAAGGAGAGAGCUGAGCAUGUCUGAGUUAGGGACUGCUGAGAGGAAGGAGAGAGAAAAAGCCCUAGGAAGUCUGGAGGUGUGAAAAGGUGAGAAGAGAAGGAGACAGCAGAGUGCAGGUGUGAGGCAGCGAGAGCAGGGGGCCUGGCCAAUAGCGGAGUUGGGAGGAAGCCACCCGGGGCAUGGUGCAACGUUGGGGGAGGGAGACAGGUGAGCAGGUGAGGAGUCAGGGAAGAAUCCUGGAGGUGAAGAAUGACCUUGGGAACUUGACAGGUACGUUUGGACAGUGCAAGGGGAUGGCUGGACUGUUUGGGGGUGGGCCUGGCCUGUGGGGAGUUAAGGACCCCAGGAAGGGGCUGUGCACUUUGCCAACCUUGGCUGGUAUGGAUGUGGGGUGGAGGGAAUCUCAGGCCCUGACCCCUUGGGCCAGCAAUGGAGAAAGAGCUUCUGAGGAGUGAGGCGGGAAUGCCAACCUCAUCCUUGGAGCCCGGCUGCUUCUGCAGAAGGUAUGGGCAGGUAAGGGGUUUGUUCAACCUGGCCAGAGCACUUGCCCUCUGUCUGCAUCAUGCCCCAUGCCCUAUGGCCAGUGUUCACUGUGCAUUGAGCUGGGUGGGGGCAAAUGCCAGUGAAGGAGACACAUGUAGUCCUGGCUGGCCAGGAGCUGGCAAGGACUUGUCAGUGUUAGUGUGGGGGGUGGAAGACAGGUAGGAACUGUGGGACAGUACACCUGGGGCACCCUCCCCAGUCAGGUGUUCCCAGAGAAGCCUGCCUAAGGGAAGUGGCCCAUAAGCAGAGAGCAGGAACCUGCGGUCUGAAAGAUAGAAGACCCUGGACCUUCUAGUGGUCUGGGCAGAGAGGAGGUUCUGAGGAUAUUGCCCAGAAAAAGGCCCGCAGGGUUUAGGCUGCAGUAGGGCAAUAGGGAGUGGUGGGGCCUGAGGCUUGUCUGAAGGGGCUGAAGGCUUGGUGAGACGGUGGAACUGGAAGGUGAGAAGAGAGCUGAGGGUCCCCUAGAGGUCAAGGUCAGAACCACAGGAAGGUACAAAGUGACCCCCAACCUUGCAUGGGCCCAGAGCAGGAGCUGCAAAGCCAAAUGGCAACCAGGGUGCAAAAACGUAGGAAUGGGGCAGGUGUGAGGCAGCGAGGAGGGAGGGUGGCAGCUGUGGGGAGCUGGAAAUGCACCCUCCUUUCAAUAGGGUAGCUGCUUGCUACUACUCAGCUCCAGCUGAGUGCUACCACGUGGGAAGUCAGGCUCUGAAUUGCCAGAAUGGAUUCUUCAAGAAAAGCCAGAAGUCAGGGUUUUUGAGCAAAAUUCCCUGAGCUUUGACUAUCACACACUGAUGUACUAAUGUUAAAUUGCUCCCACCCAGCAAUUCCAUCCCUGAAUUUAUUCCCAAUGAGAACAGGCCCCAUUAUGCCCCCUCAAAAAACAGGGACAUGGAUGUUCACAGCAGCUUCAUUCAUUACCACCAGAUGCUGGACACCGACCAAGUGACCAGGGACUGGCAAAUGGAAACUAACUUGGAGUGUAUUCCCACAAUGGGAUACGACACAUCAAUGAAAAAGAACAAAUCAUGAAUGCAUGUCCAGUACUGUGCAUGAUGCAAUUUGAAAAUACUGUUGAGCAAGAGCAGAAGACACGAAAAUGAUACCCUGUAUGACCCCAUUCCUAUGACCUUCAAAGCAGGCAGAAGUGACCUGUGGCAUCAGGGGAACCCAAGUUUUCCUGACUGGACCAUUGACAUUUGGGGCUGGUUGAUUCUUUGCUGUGGGGGAUGGUCCUGUACAUUGGAGGGAAACCUCCCUGGUCUCUCCCCAUGAGAUACCAGUAGUGUAUCCCCAGUUGUGACAAAUGUCCCUUUAGGGGGGGCACAGUCACCUUUAGGUGAGGACUCUGGGAAAGUGAUACUUCACGGCAGGACAUUUACUGGAAAAUGGUCCUGGAUUUUUUAUCUGGAGCUUGGUGGUAGUGACAUGGUGGAACAUAUUUUUUAAAUUCAGAGCUGUAUUCUUAAGAGGUAUGUGCUUUACAAUAAAAGAGUUAACCCUCCAGCAUACGUGACCCUCGAAAAUAUGCCAAAGGAAAGAAGCCAGACACAAAAGGCCCCAGAUUGCCUGG